Molecule: unclassified non-coding RNA, 305 nt
Filed under: Hevea brasiliensis (rubber tree)
Lineage: Eukaryota; Viridiplantae; Streptophyta; Magnoliopsida; Malpighiales; Euphorbiaceae
Source: RNAcentral
AAGAUGCCAGUGAGAAUGUGUUGCUGUUGUGCCUCUUUAGGUGAACAUUUGUAUAAGGGUUUUUUUUUUUUCCUUACUGGUCAUAUAAGUUGGUAGUUUUGUGAAUAAGGUAUUAUUAUGAAUUUAAGAAACAUAAGAAAAAUGUGUUCUUUGUUAUUGUUAUUUGGAGCUUAGUUAAAAAACAUUCAGCUUAAAUGGUAUUGGUUUUUGCUUACCCUUAUAUUAUUGUUGAGGUAGUCAAGUGUAUGUUAUUUACAAAAUAAAUACAAAGGAAGCAAGCUUUAUCUCUAAUUUUAGUUCUCAUU